RNAcentral lists this long non-coding RNA (557 nucleotides) under Macaca mulatta (Rhesus monkey). Its description in RNAcentral is "lncRNA (ENSMMUG00000043648.2)". The record is from RNAcentral. Lineage: Eukaryota; Metazoa; Chordata; Mammalia; Primates; Cercopithecidae.
CAUCAACAAUCUGUCUUUGUGUCACUUAGGCCCUUCCCAAGUUGCAUGAAAUGGAUGAAUAAUGUAUGAUGUCAUGCCUCAGUGAUUCACAUAGCUAAGCCCAGGGCCAAGAACAGAGACUGUAUUCCUUAGAAGAGAUGAUGUCCUAAAGUGACGAAUACAACUCGUGGUACAAACAGGAAGACAAAAGUUUCUUACGAGAGAAAUAUUUAUUCAACUGACAUUAACUGAGAUGGUCGGAAACUGCCUCUCAUUUUAAACACCUUUGCAGGAAACAGACUGCUUCUUAUUCCACCAAAACCCACACAAAAGGAAAACAGUUGUAGCUUGAGGGCAACUUUGAGAACAAAGACCAAAUAUUGACCCAAUUGAAAUUUGGCAGCUCCAUUUCCCUGAAGGGCCAACUCUGGGUCAUGGAUUAGAUUGGAGCUGUGUUUCACCCGGACUCCCUGAGUUGCUCCGAAAUCAGGAAAAAUCUUUCCUAAUGAAGAAGUACUAAAGCAUUAACCAACCUGCCACAGGAAACACAGAACGAUGCCCCAGAUUCGCAACAUGUU